Molecule: long non-coding RNA, 990 nt
Organism: Xenopus laevis (African clawed frog)
Lineage: Eukaryota; Metazoa; Chordata; Amphibia; Anura; Pipidae
Exons: 2
Source: RefSeq, a predicted model, not a curated record
AAAAGUUACCUUAAAGGUGAACCAGCCCUUUAAUCAAUGAAAUCACCAAGCACAGAUAUUUGCCGUCUGCUAACAAAACAGUCACAACAGAGGGUGAGGGGGACACUGUGAUGGUUAAGUCUAUUAGAAAUGAGUAGCAUUAAACUAGAAGCCACACGGCUUCAGUUUAUCAGUUCCCACCGAUUAAGUGGAAAGGAUUGGACCAUGUGAUCAGCUGGGCGGGGCUAGCCAUACAUUAGGCCUCAUAAGCGCUAAUAAUAAACAGAGAUGACAGUUCUGUGGCGAUCACGUGGCCCUGUGCCAAUUCAGGGAGAAUCGCUACAGUCGAUACUCACAGUCCCCACUGCAUUUCCCACAAACUAACACGAUAUCUCUUCCGCCCAAGCUGCCUGACAGACACGCCCCGUACACGCCUCCUUCCCGUAGCGCAGCCCUUCUAUUGCAGAGGCACGCAGCUAAACUUAGCUCCGCCCUUCUCAUUUCCUCCAAUUGCAGAAUCGCGCUGCUGGACUGAGUCCCUCCCCUCUAACUUCCCGCCUAUCGCAGAGCCGCACUUCUUCCUCAAGACCCGCCCUUCUCCUGGAAGUUGGGUGUAAGGAAGCUGUGGGUUUGUGGGGCUAAAGAGGAUGAAGAGGCGGAAGAGGUUCAGACCCCGAGCAGUGGCCUCCCGCAGUAGAUAACAAGUGCUCUCACCCUUCCCAGGCUCCAGCAGUACCAAAGGCCUCGUAUUCCGGCUCAGUGUUGUCCUACGGAAGGGGCAAGGGCUUCGGGAGUUCGGCUGUUUUCGUGGCUUCGGGUCCUUUGGCUGUUCACGGCACUUCCGCAUUUCGGGAUGGCCACAGGCUGCAGCACUGUCAAGGGAGGCCCGGCUCUUUUCAAAACUGCAGCACGGCCGGGCCCCCCAUCCUGCACAGGACACUUGUCCCCCCCUGAUGGUGGCCCUGCUGAAGAAUAAAGGCCAUAGUCGUAUCUGCCCGAAACUGAACAAGG